Molecule: ribosomal RNA, 301 nt
Filed under: uncultured bacterium
Lineage: Bacteria
Description: partial 16S ribosomal RNA
Rfam family: Bacterial small subunit ribosomal RNA
Source: RNAcentral
CAGCCGCCGCGGGAAUACGGAGGGUGCAAGCGUUAAUCGGAAUUACUGGGCGUAAAGCGCACGCAGGCGGUCUGUCAAGUCGGAUGUGAAAUCCCCGGGCUCAACCUGGGAACUGCAUUCGAAACUGGCAGGCUAGAGUCUUGUAGAGGGGGGUAGAAUUCCAGGUGUAGCGGUGAAAUGCGUAGAGAUCUGGAGGAAUACCGGUGGCGAAGGCGGCCCCCUGGACAAAGACUGACGCUCAGGUGCGAAAGCGUGGGGAGCAAACAGGAUUAGAUACCCGAGUAGUCCCUGUCUCUUAUAA